This 782-nucleotide ribosomal RNA is filed under the name uncultured archaeon. RNAcentral's name for it is "bacterial SSU rRNA". It matches the Rfam family "Archaeal small subunit ribosomal RNA", at positions 552 to 1336 of the family's 1478-position model. The record is from RNAcentral.
GUGUAGCUUAACUAUACGACUUCCGGGUAGACUGCUAAACUUGAGACCGGGUGAGGCUAGAGGUACUCCUGGGGUAGAGGUGAAAUUCUGUAAUCCUAGGGGGACCCCCAGUGGCGAAGGCGUCUAGCUAGAACGGGUCUGACGGUGAGGGACGAAGCCCUGGGGCACAAACCGGAUUAGAUACCCGGGUAGUCCAGGGUGUAAACGCCGCUUGCUUGAUGUUAGUUGGGCUCCGAGCCCAACUAGUGUCGGAGAGAAGUUGUUAAGCAAGCUGCCUGGGAAGUACGGUCGCAAGGCUGAAACUUAAAGGAAUUGGCGGGGGAGCACAGCAACGGGUGGAGCGUGCGGUUUAAUUGGAUUCAACGCCGGAAAACUCACCGGAGGCGACGGUUACAUGAAGGCCAGGCUGAUGACCUUGCCUGAUUUUCCGAGAGGUGGUGCAUGGCCGCCGUCAGUUCGUACCGUAAGGCGUUCUGUUAAGUCAGACAACGAACGAGACCCUCAUCUUUAAUUGCUACUAGUAAGUUCGCUUACUGGGCACAUUAAAGAAACCGCUGGCGAUAAGUCAGAGGAAGGCGAGGGCAACGGUAGGUCAGUAUGCCCUGAAUCCUCCGGGCUACACGCGCGCUACAAAGGCUAGGACAAUGAGCUUCAACACCGAGAGGUGAAGGUAAUCUCGAAACCUAGUCGUAGUUCGGAUUGAGGGUUGAAACUCACCCUCAUGAAGCUGGAAUCCGUAGUAAUCGCGGAUCAACAUCCCGCGGUGAAUAUGCCCCUGCUCC